RNAcentral lists this ribosomal RNA (440 nucleotides) under uncultured bacterium. RNAcentral's name for it is "partial 16S ribosomal RNA". It matches the Rfam family "Bacterial small subunit ribosomal RNA", at positions 338 to 795 of the family's 1533-position model. The record is from RNAcentral.
CCUACGGGUGGCAGCAGUGGGGGAUAUUGCACAAUGGGGGAAACCCUGAUGCAGCGACGCCGCGUGGGUGAAGAAGCGCCUCGGCGCGUAAAGCCCUGUCAGCAGGGAAGAAAAUGACGGUACCUGAAGAAGCCCCCCCGGCUACCUACGUGCCAGCAGCCGCGGUCAUACGUAGGGGGCAAGCGUUAUCCGGAUUUACUGGGUGUAUAGGGGGCGCAGACGGCGAUGCAAGCCAGGAGUGAAAGCCCGGGGCCCAACCCCGGGACUGCUCUUGGAACUGCGGGGCUAGAGUGCAGGAGGGGAAGGCGGAAUUCCUGGUGUAGCGGUGAAAUGCGUAGAUAUCAGGAGGAACACCGGUGGCGAAGGCGGCCUGCUGGACUGCAACUGACGUUGAGGCCCGAAAGCGUGGGGAGCGAACAGGAUUAGAUACCCCAGUAGUC